CAGUUAUGGUUCCUUAGAUCGUACCCACGUUACUUGGAUAACUGUGGUAAUUCUAGAGCUAAUACAUGCCGACAGAGUUCCGACCAACUGUACAGAUGUGCGACGGCCUCGGUCGUAGUCGCUGUACGGUACGGAAGGAACGCUUUUAUUAGAUCAAAACCGGCCAGACGGCGUAGCGCGUCUACGUCGUAAGCGGCCCGCGCAAAGACUUGGUGACCUCCGAACAACCUUCCAGCUGAUCGCACGGUCCUCGUACCGGCGACGUAUCUUUCAAAUGUCUGCCUUAUCAACUGUCGACGGUAGGUUCGACGCCUACCGUGGUGGUAACGGGUAACGGGGAAUCAGGGUUCGAUUCCGGAGAGGGAGCCUGAGAAACGGCUACCACAUCCAAGGAAGGCAGCACGCGCGCAAAUUACCCACUCCCAGCUCGGGGAGGUAGUGACGAAAAUAACAUACGAACUCAUUAGAGGCCCGUAAUCGGAAUGAGUACACUUUA
This 496-nucleotide ribosomal RNA is filed under the name Phenacoccus sp. RBS-2008. RNAcentral describes it as "bacterial SSU rRNA". It matches the Rfam family "Eukaryotic small subunit ribosomal RNA", at positions 107 to 527 of the family's 1831-position model. The record is from RNAcentral. Lineage: Eukaryota; Metazoa; Arthropoda; Insecta; Hemiptera; Pseudococcidae.